This 537-nucleotide ribosomal RNA is filed under the name Acinetobacter sp. RNAcentral's name for it is "bacterial SSU rRNA". It matches the Rfam family "Bacterial small subunit ribosomal RNA", at positions 376 to 905 of the family's 1533-position model. The record is from RNAcentral. Lineage: Bacteria; Pseudomonadati; Pseudomonadota; Gammaproteobacteria; Moraxellales; Moraxellaceae.
CGCAGCCUGAUCCAGCCAUGCCGCGUGUGUGAAGAAGGCCUUUUGGUUGUAAAGCACUUUAAGCGAGGAGGAGGCUACUUGGAUUAAUACUCUAGGAUAGUGGACGUUACUCGCAGAAUAAGCACCGGCUAACUCUGUGCCAGCAGCCGCGGUAAUACAGAGGGUGCGAGCGUUAAUCGGAUUUACUGGGCGUAAAGCGUGCGUAGGCGGCUUNUUAAGUCGGAUGUGAAAUCCCUGAGCUUAACUUAGGAAUUGCAUUCGAUACUGGGAAGCUAGAGUAUGGGAGAGGAUGGUAGAAUUCCAGGUGUAGCGGUGAAAUGCGUAGAGAUCUGGAGGAAUACCGAUGGCGAAGGCAGCCAUCUGGCCUAAUACUGACGCUGAGGUACGAAAGCAUGGGGAGCAAACAGGAUUAGAUACCCUGGUAGUCCAUGCCGUAAACGAUGUCUACUAGCCGUUGGGGCCUUUGAGGCUUUAGUGGCGCAGCUAACGCGAUAAGUAGACCGCCUGGGGAGUACGGUCGCAAGACUAAAACUCAAA